UUAAAGAUAAAAUAUGUAGAUUUAUUAAAAACAAAUAUAUAAAAUCCUUACAUAUAAAAACACAAUAUGCUUCAUCAAGGUUCUUUCAUCAACACAACAUGUUUCGGCAGGACACAUUCAUCAGGUGCACAUUCCUUAUGUCUUUCUGUCCCUUUUUAAAUCUUUGGCACCAAAAAUGUAUUUGUGACACGCCCCCUGGGUGCGUCACGUCAUUUCCAACGAUGCGAUACACACAUUUCUGGUUUUGUCCUUGUGAAGCUGUUAAAACCUCUUAAAAUUAGAAUAGGAAAACACAUUAGAAAUAUUAAGAAUAAAGUCCCUAAUCACUCUGUAUCUGACCACUUUGCACAGUACCACAAUGGUGACCCCAAAUGUCUCAAUUUAUUGGCAUUAAAAGAGUAAAGAAACCAUGGAGAGAUGGAGAAAACUGGAGAUGGAGAUGAGGUCGAUCUUUGAAUUCAACACCCUAUCUCCAGCAGGAAUUAAUUUGCCAUCCUGAUGAAAACCCAUGUAUGGGGGCUGAAACGUCAAUAUAUUUUUUAAUGAUAUAAAUUGUUAUUUUUUUAUUUCAACUGUAUGAAGACCUUGGAGUGCGGUCAUUUUCACUUUUGUUCUGUAUCCUGUGCCUGACCAGCACCGGGCAUUUAUAUUUUCAAUCCAGAAGUGCAAGCAUUCUGUAUUUAUAUAUAUAUAGAUAUAUGUGUC
Non-coding RNA from Pelobates cultripes (western spadefoot toad), 705 nucleotides. NCBI's taxonomy places the organism in Eukaryota, Metazoa, Chordata, Amphibia, Anura, Pelobatidae. The record is from the annotation of a GenBank genome assembly.